UGGCUUAGUGGUAGAGCGCUUGCCUUGCAUGCAUGAGGCCCUGAGUUCCAUUCCUCAG
Molecule: transfer RNA, 58 nt
Filed under: Dipodomys ordii (Ord's kangaroo rat)
Lineage: Eukaryota; Metazoa; Chordata; Mammalia; Rodentia; Heteromyidae
Rfam family: tRNA
About the family: Transfer RNA (tRNA) molecules are approximately 80 nucleotides in length. Their secondary structure includes four short double-helical elements and three loops (D, anti-codon, and T loops).
Source: Rfam by way of RNAcentral